GCCAGACUCCUACGGGAGGCAGCAGUGGGGAAUAUUGCACAAUGGGGGAAACCCUGAUGCAGCGACGCCGCGUGAGCGAAGAAGUAUUUCGGUAUGUAAAGCUCUAUCAGCAGGGAAGAAAAAAAUGACGGUACCUGAGUAAGAAGCACCGGCUAAAUACGUGCCAGCAGCCGCGGUAAUACGUGUGGUGCAAGCGUUAUCCGGAUUUACUGGGUGUAAAGGGAGCGUAGGCGGCGCGUUAAGUCUGAUGUGAAAACCCGAGGCUCAACCACGGGAGUGCAUUGGAAACUGGCGGGCUGGAGUGCCGGAGAGGUAAGCGGAAUUCCUAGUGUAGCGGUGAAAUGCGUAGAUAUUAGGAGGAACACCAGUGGCGAAGGCGGCUUACUGGACGGCAACUGACGCUGAGGCUCGAAAGCGUGGGGAGCAAACAGGAUUAGAUACCCGUGUA
Molecule: ribosomal RNA, 448 nt
Filed under: uncultured bacterium
Lineage: Bacteria
Description: bacterial SSU rRNA
Rfam family: Bacterial small subunit ribosomal RNA
Source: RNAcentral